This 461-nucleotide ribosomal RNA is filed under the name uncultured bacterium. RNAcentral's name for it is "bacterial SSU rRNA". It matches the Rfam family "Bacterial small subunit ribosomal RNA", at positions 340 to 793 of the family's 1533-position model. The record is from RNAcentral.
UACGGGAGGCAGCAGUGGGGAAUAUUGCACAAUGGGCGCAAGCCUGAUGCAGCCAUGCCGCGUGUAUUGAAGAAGGCCUUCGGGUUGUAAAGUACUUUCAGCAGUGAGGAAGGUGGGUAUGUUAAUAGCAUAUUCAUUUGACGUUAGCUGCAGAAGAAGCACCGGCUAACUCCGUGCCAGCAGCCGCGGUAAUACGGAGGGUGCGAGCGUUAAUCGGAAUUACUGGGCGUAAAGCGCAUGCAGGUGGUUUGUUAAGUCAGAUGUGAAAGCCCGGGGCUCAACCUCGGAAUUGCAUUUGAAACUGGCAAACUAGAGUACUGUAGAGGGGGUAGAAUUUCAGGUGUAGCGGUGAAAUGCGUAGAGAUCUGAAGGAAUACCGGUGGCGAAGGCGGCCCCCUGGACAGAUACUGACACUCAGAUGCGAAAGCGUGGGGAGCAAACAGGAUUAGAUACCCUGGUAG